RNAcentral lists this transfer RNA (75 nucleotides) under Methanosarcinales archaeon. RNAcentral's name for it is "tRNA-Pro". It matches the Rfam family "tRNA". Rfam says of the family: Transfer RNA (tRNA) molecules are approximately 80 nucleotides in length. RNAcentral also lists the same sequence under 5 other names. Lineage: Archaea; Methanobacteriati; Methanobacteriota; Methanomicrobia; Methanosarcinales. The record is from RNAcentral.
GGGGUUGUAGGGUAGCUUGGACUAUCCUUCGGCGUUCGGAUCGCCGAGACCUGAGUUCAAAUCUCAGCAACCCCA